RNAcentral lists this ribosomal RNA (432 nucleotides) under uncultured bacterium. RNAcentral describes it as "partial 16S ribosomal RNA". It matches the Rfam family "Bacterial small subunit ribosomal RNA", at positions 29 to 506 of the family's 1533-position model. The record is from RNAcentral.
AACGAACGCUGGCGGCAUGCCUAACACAUGCAAGUCGAACGAGACCUUCGGGUCUAGUGGCGCACGGGUGCGUAACGCGUGGGAACCUGCCCUUAGGUUCGGAAUAACUCCCCGAAAGGGGUGCUAAUACCGGAUAAUGUCUUCGGACCAAAGAUUUAUCGCCUUUGGAUGGGCCCGCGUUGGAUUAGCUAGUUGGUAGGGUAAAAGCCUACCAAGGCGACGAUCCAUAGCUGGUCUGAGAGGAUGAUCAGCCACACUGGGACUGAGACACGGCCCAGACCCCUACGGGGGGCGGGGGUGGGGAAAAUUGGGAAAGGGGCAAAAGCCUGAUCCAGCAAUGCCGGGUGGGUGAUGAAGGGCUUGGGGUUGUAAAGCUCUUUUACCCGGGAUGAAAAUGACAGUACCGGGAAAAAAAGCCCCGGCUAACCCCGU